GAUGAACGCUGGCGGCGUGCUUAACACAUGCAAGUCGAACGGAAAGGCCCAAGCUUGCUUGGGUACUCGAGUGGCGAACGGGUGAGUAACACGUGGGUGAUCUGCCCUGCACUUCGGGAUAAGCCUGGGAAACUGGGUCUAAUACCGGAUAGGACCACUUCUUGGAUGUUGUGGUGGAAAGUUUUUUCGGUGUGGGAUGAGCUCGCGGCCUAUCAGCUUGUUGGUGGGGUAAUGGCCUACCAAGGCGUCGACGGGUAGCCGGCCUGAGAGGGUGUACGGCCACAUUGGGACUGAGAUACGGCCCAGACGCCUACGGGAGGCAGCAGGGGGGAAUAUUGCACAAUGGGCGCAAGCCUGAUGCAGCGACGCCGCGUGGGGGAGGACGGCCUUCGGGUUGGAAACUCCUUUCGCUAGGGACGAAGCGUUUUGUGACGGUACCUGGAGAAGAAGCACCGGCUAACUACGUG
RNAcentral lists this ribosomal RNA (467 nucleotides) under uncultured bacterium. RNAcentral describes it as "partial 16S ribosomal RNA". It matches the Rfam family "Bacterial small subunit ribosomal RNA", at positions 28 to 507 of the family's 1533-position model. The record is from RNAcentral.